RNAcentral lists this unclassified non-coding RNA (251 nucleotides) under fungal sp. RNAcentral describes it as "partial contains small subunit ribosomal RNA, internal transcribed spacer 1, and 5.8S ribosomal RNA". The stretch from base 1 to 46 matches the Rfam family "Eukaryotic small subunit ribosomal RNA", at positions 1786 to 1831 of the family's 1831-position model. Lineage: Eukaryota; Fungi. The record is from RNAcentral.
AAGUCGUAACAAGGUUUCCGUAGGUGAACCUGCGGAAGGAUCAUUACCGAGUCAUGGAACCCUCUCUUGGGUUCCUACUCCCACCCAAUGUUUACCUGAAGAAUUGUUGCCUCGGCGAAUCGGCCAUGGCCGCCGGCCUUUUAGGGGUUGGAUAGCAUUCGCCAGAGGAAUUUAAAAAGUCUCUAAAACCGAAUCAUCUGAAAAAACAAGAAAAUAAAUUAAAACUUUCAACAACGGAUCUCUUGGUUCUG